CGCUUUAUGUAGCAAUACAUGAAGAGUGGCGUAAGGGAGAGUAAUGCAUGGUUAGCUACCCUCGGGACUGGGAUAGCGGCGGGAAACUGCCGGUAAUACCAGAUGACAUCUUCGGAUCAAACGUGUAAAUCGGCCCGAGGAGGUGACCAUGUCCUAUCAGCUAGUUGGCGGUGUAAUAGACCACCAAGGCAAAGACGGGUAUGGGGCGUGAGAGCGUGCCCCCACUCACUGGGACUGAGACACUGCCCAGACACCUACGGGUGGCUGCAGUCGAGAAUCUUCGGCAAUGGGCGCAAGCCUGACCGAGCGACGCCGCGUGCGGGAUGAAGGCCUUCGGGUUGUAAACCGCUGUCGUAGGGGAGGAAGGUUUGGUGUAUAGCCAAGC
RNAcentral lists this ribosomal RNA (385 nucleotides) under uncultured Planctomycetota bacterium. RNAcentral's name for it is "bacterial SSU rRNA". It matches the Rfam family "Bacterial small subunit ribosomal RNA", at positions 67 to 469 of the family's 1533-position model. Lineage: Bacteria; Pseudomonadati; Planctomycetota. The record is from RNAcentral.